GUGAGGAAUAUUGGACAAUGGGUGAGAGCCUGAUCCAGCCAUCCCGCGUGCAGGAAGACGGCCCUAUGGGUUGUAAACUGCUUUUGUAUGGGAAUAAACCACCUUACGAGUAGGGUGUUGAAGGUACCAUACGAAUAAGCACCGGCUAACUCCGUGCCAGCAGCCGCGGUAAUACGGAGGGUGCAAGCGUUAUCCGGAUUCAUUGGGUUUAAAGGGUCCGCAGGCGGGCUUGUAAGUCAGGGGUGAAAGCCGGCAGCUUAACUGUAGAACUGCCUUUGAUACUGCAAGUCUUGAGUGAGGUUGAAGUAGCUGGAAUGUGUAGUGUAGCGGUGAAAUGCUUAGAUAUUACACAGAACACCGAUAGCGAAGGCAGGUUACUAAGUCUUAACUGACGCUGAGGGACGAAAGCGUGGGGAGCGAACAGGAUUAGAAACCCUAGUAGUCC
This 445-nucleotide ribosomal RNA is filed under the name uncultured bacterium. RNAcentral's name for it is "bacterial SSU rRNA". It matches the Rfam family "Bacterial small subunit ribosomal RNA", at positions 354 to 796 of the family's 1533-position model. The record is from RNAcentral.